AGAGUUUGAUCAUGGCUCAGGACGAACGCUGGCGGCGUGCUUAACACAUGCAAGUCGAGCGGGGUUUAUCGGAUUAGCUUGCUAAACUGAUAAACCUAGCGGCGGACGGGUGAGUAACGCGUGAGCAAUCUGCCUCAUACAGGGGGAUAACAGGUGGAAACACCUGCUAAUACCGCAUAAGACUCCACUACCGCAUGGUAGAGAAGUCAAAGGGCUUACCGGUAUGAGAUGAGCUCGCGUCCCAUUAGCUAGUUGGUAGGGUAAAGGCCUACCAAGGCGACGAUGGGUAGCCGACCUGAGAGGGUGAUCGGCCACACUGGGACUGAGACACGGCCCAGACUCCUACGGGAGGCAGCAGUGGGGAAUAUUGCACAAUGGAGGGAACUCUGAUGCAGCAACGCCGCGUGAGUGAAGAAGGUUUUCGGAUCGUAAAACUCUGUCAUUGGGGAAGAAUAAAUGACGGUACCCAAUGAGGAAGCCCCGGCUAACUACGUGCCAGCAGCCGCGGUAAU
Molecule: ribosomal RNA, 512 nt
Filed under: uncultured bacterium
Lineage: Bacteria
Description: bacterial SSU rRNA
Rfam family: Bacterial small subunit ribosomal RNA
Source: RNAcentral